RNAcentral lists this ribosomal RNA (360 nucleotides) under uncultured bacterium. RNAcentral's name for it is "bacterial SSU rRNA". It matches the Rfam family "Bacterial small subunit ribosomal RNA", at positions 28 to 387 of the family's 1533-position model. The record is from RNAcentral.
GAUGAACGCUAGCGGGAGGCUUAACACAUGCAAGUCGAGGGGCAGCAUUUCCUUCGGGAAGAUGGCGACCGGCGCACGGGUGCGUAACGCGUAUGCAACCUGCCUUGUACAGGGGGAUAGCCCAUGGAAACGUGGAUUAAUACCCCAUCGGACCGCAAAUUCGCAUGUUUUUGCGGUUAAAACUACGGUGGUACAAGAUGGGCAUGCGUAGGAUUAGCUAGUAGGUGGGGCAACGGCCCACCUAGGCGACGAUCCUUAGGGGUUCUGAGAGGAUUACCCCCCACACUGGUACUGAGACACGGACCAGACUCCUACGGGAGGCAGCAGUGAGGAAUAUUGGUCAAUGGGCGCGAGCCUGAA